This is a non-coding RNA of Schistosoma haematobium, 45 nucleotides long. NCBI's taxonomy places the organism in Eukaryota, Metazoa, Platyhelminthes, Trematoda, Strigeidida, Schistosomatidae. The record is from Rfam.
AUCCAUCUGACAAGUCCCAAAUAGGACGGAACGCGAGUUCUGGAU